This 810-nucleotide ribosomal RNA is filed under the name unidentified archaeon. RNAcentral's name for it is "bacterial SSU rRNA". It matches the Rfam family "Archaeal small subunit ribosomal RNA", at positions 509 to 1338 of the family's 1478-position model. The record is from RNAcentral.
CCUAAAGCAUCCGUAGCCGGCUCUGUAAGUUUUCGGUUAAAUCUGUACGCUCAACGUACAGGCUGCCGGGAAUACUGCAGAGCUAGGGAGUGGGAGAGGUAGACGGUACUCGGGAGGAAGUGGUAAAAUGCUUUGAUCUCUCGAUGACCACCUGUGGCGAAGGCGGUCUACCAGAACACGUCCGACGGUGAGGGAUGAACGCUGGGGGAGCAAACCGGAUUAGAUACCCGGGUAGUCCCAGCUGUAAACUAUGCAAACUCAGUGAUGCAUUGGCUUGUGGCCAAUGCAGUGUUGCAGGGAAGCCGUUAAGUUUGCCGCCUGGGAAGUACGUACGCAAGUAUGAAACUUAAAGGAAUUGGUGGGGGAGCACCACAAGGGGUGAAGCCUGCGGUUCAAUUGGAGUCAACNCCAGAAAUCUUACCCGGAGAGACAGCAGAAUGAAGGUCAAGCUGAAGACUUUACCAGACAAGCUGAGAGGUGGUGCAUGGCCGCCGCCAGCUCGUGCCGUGAGAUGUCCUGUUAAGUCAGGUAACGAGCGAGAUCCCUNCCUCUAGUUGCCACCAUUACUAUUAGCGGGACCGCCGCAGUUAAUGCGGAGGAGGAAGGGGCCACGGCAGGUCAGUAUGCCCCGAAACUCUGGGGCCACACGCGGGCUGCAAUGGUAAUGACAAUGAGUUCCGAAACCGAAAGGUGGAGGUAAUCUUCAAACGCUAUCACAGUUAUGAUUGAGGGCUGCAACUCGCCCUCAUGAAUAUGGAAUCCCUAGUAACUGCGUGUCAUUACCGCGCGGUGAAUACGUCCCUGCUCCUU